GAUGAACGCUGGCGGCGUGCCUAAUACAUGCAAGUCGAGCGAACAGACGAGGAGCUUGCUCCUCUGACGUUAGCGGCGGACGGGUGAGUAACACGUGGAUAACCCACCUAUAAGACUGGGAUAACUUCGGGAAACCGGAGCUAAUACCGGAUAAUAUAUUGAACCGCAUGGUUCAAUAGUGAAAGACGGUUUUGCUGUCACUUAUAGAUGGAUCCGCGCCGCAUUAGCUAGUUGGUAAGGUAACGGCUUACCAAGGCGACGAUGCGUAGCCGACCUGAGAGGGGGAUCGGCCACACUGGAACUGAGACACGGUCCAGACUCCUACGGGAGGCAGCAGUAGGGAAUCUUCCGCAGUGGGCGAAAGCCUGACGGAGCAACGCCGCGUGAGUGACAAAGGUCUUCGGAUCGUAAAACUCUGUUAUUAGGGAAAAACAAAUGUGUAAGUAAAUAUGCACGUCUUGACGGUACCUAAUCAGAAAGCCACGGCUAACUACGUG
This 497-nucleotide ribosomal RNA is filed under the name uncultured bacterium. Its description in RNAcentral is "partial 16S ribosomal RNA". It matches the Rfam family "Bacterial small subunit ribosomal RNA", at positions 28 to 507 of the family's 1533-position model. The record is from RNAcentral.